UGCAUAUCAAUAAGCGGAGGAAAAGAAACCAACAGGGAUUGCCCUAGUAACGGCGAGUGAAGCGGCAACAGCUCAAAUUUGAAAUCUGGCUCUUUCAGAGUCCGAGUUGUAAUUUGCAGAGGGCGCUUUGGCUUUGGCAGCGGUCCAAGUUCCUUGGAACAGGACGUCACAGAGGGUGAGAAUCCCGUACGUGGUCGCUAGCUAUUGCCGUGUAAAGCCCCUUCGACGAGUCGAGUUGUUUGGGAAUGCAGCUCUAAAUGGGAGGUAAAUUUCUUCUAAAGCUAAAUAUUGGCCAGAGACCGAUAGCGCACAAGUAGAGUGAUCGAAAGAUGAAAAGCACUUUGGAAAGAGAGUCAAACAGCACGUGAAAUUGUUGAAAGGGAAGCGCUUGCAGCCAGACUUGCUUGCAGUUGCUCAUCCGGGCUUUUGCCCGGUGCACUCUUCUGCAGGCAGGCCAGCAUCAGUUUGGGCGGUGGGAUAAAGGUCUCUGUCAUGUACCUCUCUUCGGGGAGGCCUUAUAGGGGAGGCGACAUACCACCAGCCUAGACUGAGGUCCGCGCAUCUGCUAGGAUGCUGGCGUAAUGGCUGUAAGCGGCCCGUCUUGAACACGGACCA
Molecule: ribosomal RNA, 615 nt
Filed under: Exserohilum rostratum
Lineage: Eukaryota; Fungi; Ascomycota; Dothideomycetes; Pleosporales; Pleosporaceae
Description: partial large subunit ribosomal RNA
Rfam family: Eukaryotic large subunit ribosomal RNA
Source: RNAcentral